This is a non-coding RNA of Ictidomys tridecemlineatus (thirteen-lined ground squirrel), 67 nucleotides long. The record is from Rfam. Lineage: Eukaryota; Metazoa; Chordata; Mammalia; Rodentia; Sciuridae.
GGUUGUAGCUCAAUGGUAGAGCACUUGCCUAUCAAAUGCAAGGCCAUGGGUUCAAUCCCCAGCACCA